Molecule: non-coding RNA, 29 nt
Filed under: Mus musculus (house mouse)
Lineage: Eukaryota; Metazoa; Chordata; Mammalia; Rodentia; Muridae
Source: RNAcentral
UAUUUAUUGAGGCCUACUAUGUGCCGGGA